This is a long non-coding RNA of Mastomys coucha (southern multimammate mouse), 336 nucleotides long. RefSeq lists it as uncharacterized. Lineage: Eukaryota; Metazoa; Chordata; Mammalia; Rodentia; Muridae. The transcript is spliced from 2 exons. The record is from RefSeq and is a predicted model, not a curated record.
UUCAGUCCUCUGGAGGAUGCCAAAUAAAAGCCUUCCUUGAUGACCUGUCACUUUCCUAGCCUGACUUGAGUGGCUAGACUUCUGGUUAAGCAUCCCAUGUUGGCCUUUCAUGGCACGUAGAAGAUUUCAGUGCCCAGUGUUCUAGGUCGCCAGCUCCAUAGCUCCAGCAAGCACUGGCAACCAUGACCUUUCCUUAGAGCCUGCUUUGCAACCAGAGAACAUAAAGAAGGAAAACCGACCCCCUUUUCUCUUCUGAGAAGAAUGCUCUCUGCUACUAUCUGUGACCUCUAUUCAAGCUCAACAGACCUGUGGUGAAAAUAAAAUUUUAUGUUAAGA